AUGGUGGGAACUCACGGGGGACCGCCGGGGUUAACUCGGAGGAAGGUGGGGAUGACGUCAGAUCAUCAUGCCCCUUACGUCCAGGGCUUCACGCAUGCUACAAUGGCCGGUACAGCGGGAUGCGAUGCGGUGACGCGGAGCGGAUCCCUGAAAACCGGUCUCAGUUCGGAUCGGAGCCUGCAACUCGGCUCCGUGAAGGUGGAGUCGCUAGUAAUCGCGGAUCAGCAACGCCGCGGUGAAUGCGUUCCCGGGCCUUGUACACACCGCCCGUCAAGUCAUGAAAGUGGGUAGCACCCGAAGCCGGUGGCCUAACCCUUGUGGGGGGAGCCGUCUAAGGUGAGACUCGUGAUUGGGACUAAGUCGUAACAAGGUAGCCGUACCGGAAGGUGCGGCUGGAUCACCUCCUUUCUACGGAG
This 416-nucleotide ribosomal RNA is filed under the name Bifidobacterium simiarum. Its description in RNAcentral is "bacterial SSU rRNA". It matches the Rfam family "Bacterial small subunit ribosomal RNA", at positions 1128 to 1533 of the family's 1533-position model. Lineage: Bacteria; Bacillati; Actinomycetota; Actinomycetes; Bifidobacteriales; Bifidobacteriaceae. The record is from RNAcentral.